RNAcentral lists this ribosomal RNA (487 nucleotides) under uncultured bacterium. RNAcentral's name for it is "partial 16S ribosomal RNA". It matches the Rfam family "Bacterial small subunit ribosomal RNA", at positions 28 to 505 of the family's 1533-position model. The record is from RNAcentral.
GACGAACGCUGGCGGCGUGCUUAACACAUGCAAGUCGAACGGAAAGGCCCUGCUUUUGUGGGGUGCUCGAGUGGCGAACGGGUGAGUAACACGUGUGUAACCUGUCCUUGACUUUGGGAUAACUUCAGGAAACUGGGGCUAUUAUAGGAUAGGAGCUCCUGCUGCAUGGGGGGGGUUGGAAAGAUUCGGCGGUUGGGGAUGGACUCGCGGCGUAUCAGCUUGUUGGUGGGGUAGUGGCUUACCAAGGCGAUGAUGGGUAGCCGACCGGAGAGGGUGACCGGCCACACUGGGACGGAGAAACGGCCCAGACGCAUACGGGAGGCAGGAGUAGGGAAUCUGCGGCAAUGGACGGAAGUCUGACCGAGCAACGCGGCGUGAGUGAAGAAGGUGUGCGGAUCGGGAAGCGAUGUUGUAAGAGAAGAACGAGUGUGAGAGUGGAAAGUUCACACUGUGACGGUAUAAUACCAGGAAGGGACGGCGAACGACG